This 322-nucleotide ribosomal RNA is filed under the name uncultured eukaryote. Its description in RNAcentral is "partial 18S ribosomal RNA". It matches the Rfam family "Eukaryotic small subunit ribosomal RNA", at positions 1470 to 1796 of the family's 1831-position model. The record is from RNAcentral.
CCCUUAGAUUGUCUGGGCGGCACGCGCGCUACAAUGAUGCAUUCAAAAAGUCUUCUGACCUUAGAAGGUUGGGUAUUCUCCAAAGUGCAUCGUGAUGGGAAUAGUUUAUUGCAAUUUUUAAUCUUGAACGAGGAAUUCCUAGUAAGUACAGGUCAUCAACGUGUGUUGAUUACGUCCCUGCCCUUUGUACACACCGCCCGUCGCUCCUACCGAUUGGGUGUGCUGGUGAAAUGUUCGGAUCGGCCGUUUGUCGCGGUUUCCGCGUCAUGUGGCUGAGAAGUUCAUUAAACCCUCCCACCUAGAGGAAGGAGAAGUCGUAACA